RNAcentral lists this ribosomal RNA (1369 nucleotides) under uncultured bacterium. RNAcentral's name for it is "bacterial SSU rRNA". It matches the Rfam family "Bacterial small subunit ribosomal RNA", at positions 28 to 1381 of the family's 1533-position model. The record is from RNAcentral.
GACGAACGCUGGCGGCGUGCCUAAUACAUGCAAGUAGAACGCUGAAGAGAGGAGUUUGCUCUUCUUGGAUGAGUUGCGAACGGGUGAGUAACGCGUAGGUAACCUGCCUUGUAGCGGGGGAUAACUAUUGGAAACGAUAGCUAAUACCGCAUAACAAUGGAUGACACAUGUCAUUUAUUUGAAAGGGGCAAUUGCUCCACUACAAGAUGGACCUGCGUUGUAUUAGCUAGUAGGUGAGGUAAUGGCUCACCUAGGCGACGAUACAUAGCCGACCUGAGAGGGUGAUCGGCCACACUGGGACUGAGACACGGCCCAGACUCCUACGGGAGGCAGCAGUAGGGAAUCUUCGGCAAUGGGGGCAACCCUGACCGAGCAACGCCGCGUGAGUGAAGAAGGUUUUCGGAUCGUAAAGCUCUGUUGUAAGUCAAGAACGGGUGUGAGAGUGGAAAGUUCACACUGUGACGGUAGCUUACCAGAAAGGGACGGCUAACUACGUGCCAGCAGCCGCGGUAAUACGUAGGUCCCGAGCGUUGUCCGGAUUUAUUGGGCGUAAAGCGAGCGCAGGCGGUUUGAUAAGUCUGAAGUUAAAGGCUGUGGCUCAACCAUAGUUCGCUUUGGAAACUGUCAAACUUGAGUGCAGAAGGGGAGAGUGGAAUUCCAUGUGUAGCGGUGAAAUGCGUAGAUAUAUGGAGGAACACCGGUGGCGAAAGCGGCUCUCUGGUCUGUAACUGACGCUGAGGCUCGAAAGCGUGGGGAGCGAACGGGAUUAGAUGCCCUGGUAGUCCACGCCGUAAACGAUGAGUGCUAGGUGUUGGAUCCUUUCCGGGAUUCAGUGCCGCAGCUAACGCAUUAAGCACUCCGCCUGGGGAGUACGACCGCAAGGUUGAAACUCAAAGGAAUUGACGGGGGCCCGCACAAGCGGUGGAGCAUGUGGUUUAAUUCGAAGCAACGCGAAGAACCUUACCAGGUCUUGACAUCCCGAUGCUAUUUCUAGAGAUAGAAAGUUACUUCGGUACAUCGGUGACAGGUGGUGCAUGGUUGUCGUCAGCUCGUGUCGUGAGAUGUUGGGUUAAGUCCCGCAACGAGCGCAACCCCUAUUGUUAGUUGCCAUCAUUCAGUUGGGCACUCUAGCGAGACUGCCGGUAAUAAACCGGAGGAAGGUGGGGAUGACGUCAAAUCAUCAUGCCCCUUAUGACCUGGGCUACACACGUGCUACAAUGGUUGGUACAACGAGUUGCGAGUCGGUGACGGCGAGCUAAUCUCUUAAAGCCAAUCUCAGUUCGGAUUGUAGGCUGCAACUCGCCUACAUGAAGUCGGAAUCGCUAGUAAUCGCGGAUCAGCACGCCGCGGUGAAUACGUUCCCGGGCCU